CAGUUUAUACCGUAGCUUGCUACACCAUAGACUGUGAGUUGCGAACGGGUGAGUAACGCGUAGGUAACCUACCUAUUAGAGGGGGAUAACUAUUGGAAACGAUAGCUAAUACCGCAUAACAGUAUGUAAUACAUGUUAGAUGCUUGAAAGAUGCAAUUGCAUCGCUAGUAGAUGGACCUGCGUUGUAUUAGCUAGUAGGUAGGGUAAUGGCCUACCUAGGCAACGAUACAUAGCCGACCUGAGAGGGUGAUCGGCCACACUGGGACUGAGACACGGCCCAGACUCCUACGGGAGGCAGCAGUAGGGAAUCUUCGGCAAUGGGGGGAACCCUGACCGAGCAACGCCGCGUGAGUGAAGAAGGUUUUCGGAUCGUAAAGCUCUGUUGUUAAGGAA
This 393-nucleotide ribosomal RNA is filed under the name uncultured Streptococcus sp. RNAcentral's name for it is "bacterial SSU rRNA". It matches the Rfam family "Bacterial small subunit ribosomal RNA", at positions 59 to 446 of the family's 1533-position model. The record is from RNAcentral. Lineage: Bacteria; Bacillati; Bacillota; Bacilli; Lactobacillales; Streptococcaceae.